UACAGAGGGUGCAAGCGUUAAUCGGAAUUACUGGGCGUAAAGCGCACGUAGGUGGAUACUUAAGUCGAAUGUGAAACCCCCGAGCUUAACUUGGGGACUGCAUGCGAUACUGGGUAUCUAGAGUAUAGUAGAGGGAAGUGGAAUUUCCGGAGUAGCGGUGAAAUGCGUAGAUAUCGGAAGGAACACCAGUGGCGAAGGCGGCUUCCUGGACUAAUACUGACACUGAGGUGCGAAAGCGUGGGGAGCAAACAGG
RNAcentral lists this ribosomal RNA (253 nucleotides) under uncultured bacterium. RNAcentral describes it as "partial 16S ribosomal RNA". It matches the Rfam family "Bacterial small subunit ribosomal RNA", at positions 524 to 776 of the family's 1533-position model. The record is from RNAcentral.